Molecule: ribosomal RNA, 2458 nt
Filed under: Escherichia coli
Lineage: Bacteria; Pseudomonadati; Pseudomonadota; Gammaproteobacteria; Enterobacterales; Enterobacteriaceae
Description: bacterial LSU rRNA
Rfam family: Bacterial large subunit ribosomal RNA
Source: RNAcentral
UAGUGAACCAGUACCGUGAGGGAAAGGCGAAAAGAACCCCGGCGAGGGGAGUGAAAAAGAACCUGAAACCGUGUACGUACAAGCAGUGGGAGCACGCUUAGGCGUGUGACUGCGUACCUUUUGUAUAAUGGGUCAGCGACUUAUAUUCUGUAGCAAGGUUAACCGAAUAGGGGAGCCGAAGGGAAACCGAGUCUUAACUGGGCGUUAAGUUGCAGGGUAUAGACCCGAAACCCGGUGAUCUAGCCAUGGGCAGGUUGAAGGUUGGGUAACACUAACUGGAGGACCGAACCGACUAAUGUUGAAAAAUUAGCGGAUGACUUGUGGCUGGGGGUGAAAGGCCAAUCAAACCGGGAGAUAGCUGGUUCUCCCCGAAAGCUAUUUAGGUAGCGCCUCGUGAAUUCAUCUCCGGGGGUAGAGCACUGUUUCGGCAAGGGGGUCAUCCCGACUUACCAACCCGAUGCAAACUGCGAAUACCGGAGAAUGUUAUCACGGGAGACACACGGCGGGUGCUAACGUCCGUCGUGAAGAGGGAAACAACCCAGACCGCCAGCUAAGGUCCCAAAGUCAUGGUUAAGUGGGAAACGAUGUGGGAAGGCCCAGACAGCCAGGAUGUUGGCUUAGAAGCAGCCAUCAUUUAAAGAAAGCGUAAUAGCUCACUGGUCGAGUCGGCCUGCGCGGAAGAUGUAACGGGGCUAAACCAUGCACCGAAGCUGCGGCAGCGACACUAUGUGUUGUUGGGUAGGGGAGCGUUCUGUAAGCCUGUGAAGGUGUACUGUGAGGUAUGCUGGAGGUAUCAGAAGUGCGAAUGCUGACAUAAGUAACGAUAAAGCGGGUGAAAAGCCCGCUCGCCGGAAGACCAAGGGUUCCUGUCCAACGUUAAUCGGGGCAGGGUGAGUCGACCCCUAAGGCGAGGCCGAAAGGCGUAGUCGAUGGGAAACAGGUUAAUAUUCCUGUACUUGGUGUUACUGCGAAGGGGGGACGGAGAAGGCUAUGUUGGCCGGGCGACGGUUGUCCCGGUUUAAGCGUGUAGGCUGGUUUUCCAGGCAAAUCCGGAAAAUCAAGGCUGAGGCGUGAUGACGAGGCACUACGGUGCUGAAGCAACAAAUGCCCUGCUUCCAGGAAAAGCCUCUAAGCAUCAGGUAACAUCAAAUCGUACCCCAAACCGACACAGGUGGUCAGGUAGAGAAUACCAAGGCGCUUGAGAGAACUCGGGUGAAGGAACUAGGCAAAAUGGUGCCGUAACUUCGGGAGAAGGCACGCUGAUAUGUAGGUGAAGUCCCUCGCGGAUGGAGCUGAAAUCAGUCGAAGAUACCAGCUGGCUGCAACUGUUUAUUAAAAACACAGCACUGUGCAAACACGAAAGUGGACGUAUACGGUGUGACGCCUGCCCGGUGCCGGAAGGUUAAUUGAUGGGGUUAGCCGCAAGGCGAAGCUCUUGAUCGAAGCCCCGGUAAACGGCGGCCGUAACUAUAACGGUCCUAAGGUAGCGAAAUUCCUUGUCGGGUAAGUUCCGACCUGCACGAAUGGCGUAAUGAUGGCCAGGCUGUCUCCACCCGAGACUCAGUGAAAUUGAACUCGCUGUGAAGAUGCAGUGUACCCGCGGCAAGACGGAAAGACCCCGUGAACCUUUACUAUAGCUUGACACUGAACAUUGAGCCUUGAUGUGUAGGAUAGGUGGGAGGCUUUGAAGUGUGGACGCCAGUCUGCAUGGAGCCGACCUUGAAAUACCACCCUUUAAUGUUUGAUGUUCUAACGUUGACCCGUAAUCCGGGUUGCGGACAGUGUCUGGUGGGUAGUUUGACUGGGGCGGUCUCCUCCUAAAGAGUAACGGAGGAGCACGAAGGUUGGCUAAUCCUGGUCGGACAUCAGGAGGUUAGUGCAAUGGCAUAAGCCAGCUUGACUGCGAGCGUGACGGCGCGAGCAGGUGCGAAAGCAGGUCAUAGUGAUCCGGUGGUUCUGAAUGGAAGGGCCAUCGCUCAACGGAUAAAAGGUACUCCGGGGAUAACAGGCUGAUACCGCCCAAGAGUUCAUAUCGACGGCGGUGUUUGGCACCUCGAUGUCGGCUCAUCACAUCCUGGGGCUGAAGUAGGUCCCAAGGGUAUGGCUGUUCGCCAUUUAAAGUGGUACGCGAGCUGGGUUUAGAACGUCGUGAGACAGUUCGGUCCCUAUCUGCCGUGGGCGCUGGAGAACUGAGGGGGGCUGCUCCUAGUACGAGAGGACCGGAGUGGACGCAUCACUGGUGUUCGGGUUGUCAUGCCAAUGGCACUGCCCGGUAGCUAAAUGCGGAAGAGAUAAGUGCUGAAAGCAUCUAAGCACGAAACUUGCCCCGAGAUGAGUUCUCCCUGACUCCUUGAGAGUCCUGAAGGAACGUUGAAGACGACGACGUUGAUAGGCCGGGUGUGUAAGCGCAGCGAUGCGUUGAGCUAACCGGUACUAAUGAACCGUGAGGCUUAACCUU